AGAGUUUGAUCCUGGCUCAGGAUGAACGCUAGCGGUGUGCCUAACACAUGCAAGUCGUACGAAAAAGAAAUUUUUAGUGGCGAACGGGUGGGUAACGCGUGAGAAUUCACUCUUAUGGUAGAGGAUAACAAUUAGAAAUAGUUACUAAAACUCUAUAUGCUGUAAUAGUUUAAAAUCUAUGAAAGUGAAAAAAGAAAUUUGCCUAAGAAGAAGCUCGCGUCUGAUUAGCUAGUUGGUAGGGUAAUAGCCUACCAAGGCGAUGAUCAGUAGCUGGUUUGAGAGGAUGAUCAGCCACACUGGAACUGAGACACGGUCCAGACUCCUACGGGAGGCAGCAGUGAGGAAUUUUCUGCAAUGGGCGAAAGCCUGACAGAGCAACACCGCGUGAGGGAUGACAGCCUUCGGGUUGUAAACCUCUUUUCUCAAGAAGGAAGAUCUGACGUUACUUGAGGAAUAAGCAUCGGCUAACCCUGUGCCAGCAGCCGCGGUAAUACAGGGGAUGCAAGUGUUAUCCGGAAUUAUUGGGCGUAAAGGGUCUCUAGGUUGAAAUUUAAGUCUUUUGUUAAAUAAUAAGGCUUAACCUUAAUAAUGCAAAAGAAACUGUAUUUCUAGAGUUUGGUAGAAGUUAAGGGAAUUUCCAGUGGAGCGGUGAAAUGCGUAGAGAUUGGAAGGAACACCAAAAGCGAAAGCACUUAACUGGGCCAUGACUGACACUGACAGACGAAAGCUAGGGAAGCAAACGAGAUUAGAUACCCUGGUAGUCC
This 764-nucleotide ribosomal RNA is filed under the name uncultured bacterium. RNAcentral describes it as "bacterial SSU rRNA". It matches the Rfam family "Bacterial small subunit ribosomal RNA", at positions 8 to 796 of the family's 1533-position model. The record is from RNAcentral.